RNAcentral lists this ribosomal RNA (465 nucleotides) under uncultured bacterium. RNAcentral's name for it is "partial 16S ribosomal RNA". It matches the Rfam family "Bacterial small subunit ribosomal RNA", at positions 28 to 507 of the family's 1533-position model. The record is from RNAcentral.
GACGAACGCUGGCGGCGUGCUUAACACAUGCAAGUCGAGCGAGGCCCCUCCUUCGGGAGGGUGUCCUAGCGGCGAACGGGUGAGUAACACGUGGGCAACCUGCCCUCAGCUCUGGGAUAACUCCGGGAAACCGGGGCUAAUACCGGAUACGACCUCCACGGGCAUCUGCGGAGGUGGAAAGUUUUUCGGCUGAGGAUGGGCCCGCGGCCUAUCAGCUAGUUGGUGGGGUAGUGGCCCACCAAGGCGACGACGGGUAGCCGGCCUGAGAGGGCGACCGGCCACACUGGGACUGAGACACGGCCCAGACUCCUACGGGAGGCAGCAGUGGGGAAUAUUGCGUAAUGGGCGAAAGCCUGACGCAGCGACGCCGCGUGAGGGACGAAGGCCUUCGGGUUGUAAACCUCUUUCAGCAGGGACGAAGCGAAAGUGACGGUACCUGCAGAAGAAGCACCGGCCAACUACGUG